CCUACGGGGGGCAGCAGUGGGGAAUAUUGGACAAUGGGGGCAACCCUGAUCCAGCCAUGCCGCGUGUGUGAAGAAGGCCCUCGGGUUGUAAAGCACUUUCAGUGAGGAAGAACGCCUGGUGGUUAAUACCCAUCAGGAAAGACAUCACUCACAGAAGAAGCACCGGCUAACUCCGUGCCAGCAGCCGCGGUAAUACGGAGGGUGCGAGCGUUAAUCGGAAUUACUGGGCGUAAAGCGCGCGUAGGUGGCUUGAUAAGCCGGUUGUGAAAGCCCCGGGCUCAACCUGGGAACGGCAUCCGGAACUGUCAAGCUAGAGUGCAGGAGAGGAAGGUAGAAUUCCCGGUGUAGCGGGGAAAUGCGUAGAGAUCGGGAGGAAUACCAGUGGCGAAGGCGGCCUUCUGGACUGACACUGACACUGAGGUGCGAAAGCGUGGGUAGCAAACAGGAUUAGAUACCCUAGUAGUC
Molecule: ribosomal RNA, 465 nt
Filed under: Vreelandella stevensii
Lineage: Bacteria; Pseudomonadati; Pseudomonadota; Gammaproteobacteria; Oceanospirillales; Halomonadaceae
Description: partial 16S ribosomal RNA
Rfam family: Bacterial small subunit ribosomal RNA
Source: RNAcentral